CAUCAUCAACAGCUCCCAGCGGAAUUAGCACCACGCUCUUGUGGACGAUCUCCUGGAACAUUUUGGCAAUUGGAAUGGUGGAUCCAUCCCGGAUCAUAUCUGGUUCUGUUCCAAACACUGAGACAGGAAAAGAAGGCAUUUGAAUAGGGUAAGGACAAGAACACCCCCAGGAAGCUCCUCAAGGAUCUGAUCCAGAAUCCACACUGCAUUUUUAUUAUUGCUUCUUAGUUUCUUGUAUGCUGCAGACGUUUCUCAGUAUUUCCUUGUCUUUCAUGACCUUGACCAUCUUGAAGCUUAUCAGUCGGUAGUUUUGUAAAAUAUCCCUCACUCUGGGUUUGUCUGAUGUUAUCUUGUGAUUGCAAGAGGUCAUGCAUUUUUGGCACGACACAAGACAAUGUCCCUAUAUUGUUUCUUCAUGAAUUAAAUAUUAUGGAAGUGGGACUUCUUUGGGUUUUUUGGUGACAGAUAUGCCAAUAGCUGUACUAUCGCUCAAAUGUCACAGUGUUUCUAGCAAUUUUCAAAGUAUUGCACAAAAUAGUUUUAACUGCUAUCGUAGGUUUUAGAAAGAGAUGAGUUCAAACCUUCUAGCUUACCGGACAUGCUGCCAGUGAUGGAGUGGGAUGAAAAAUGAAACAAAGAAACCAGAGAGAACAUGCCACCUCUUCUUUAUUCACAAAGAAAGAUGUGGACGUGAAUCGAAGUGAUGUGCCUCGUUCGCAGAACCAGUUUAGCACACAAAUAGACCGAAAGGUGUCUUAUGCAUUCCUGAAAGGCUAUUUCAGACCUAUUUAUUGUUGUCAACCUGGGUAUUUCAAACACACACCUCUCUUCAGCUGCCAUUACAUUUCUUCAAUCCUAAAGUUUACUGGCGAAAUACCUGCUAAGGUUGGGGGCAGCAGGAAUGGUGAUGGAAAGAAGCAUGGCUCCCUGUCUUGGACUUGAUCUGUAGUUUUCCGUGUCUGUGUCCCUUGUACUGAUAACCCUGAGAGAGAGUUAGUGCUUCAAAGAGAUCUGGGCUUCCCUUUCUGGCUUUGCCACCAUUAGCCAAUGUGGCCUCAGGCCUCAUCUGUAAUAGGAUGCCAUAGGUCUACCUAAAUGCAUGCCACUGCUUUUCCACCUAGCUUUGGGAGAGACCUAGAACCCCCUGCUUUGGGAAGAGCCCCCAUUCUGCUAUUGUUGGCAGGGUCCCCCUCCUGGUGCAGAAGCCAAAAAGACUGGGUGUCCCUGCUCCCUGACGCCACAGCCAGCACCCAAGUACACGCCCUCUGCUCAGCCCAGCACAUGGCUCUACCCAGGACCUUGAAGUGCAUGGAAUUAAAACAGGCACCACCAAAGAAGUUCCAAAUAGAGCUGUGCUGCCUUCUGGGGAAGCAAUGUGGCAUUGUGAAGAGACCACUGGCUUGAGGGUCAGAAACACCAGAACUGGGUUUCUCAUGUGUUUUGCAAUUGUGUACAGUGAGCUCAUCUCCAGGAAGCUCCUGUGGAAUCUCCUUGGCCUGCCUGGGGGCUGUGUCCUCCUGGGCAAUGCUGUGCUUGCAUCAGCAGGCAGUCCAGCCAUGGCACUAGUGAGAACCAGACCACACACUAGGUAAAAUUAAACACCCAAACCCACAGGAGCAAGGGUCCAUGGUUAAAAAUUCUCAGGGGAGACCUUGUGUCCGUCCAACGUCCAAGCAAAGGCAGUCAAGCUUACACACACACACACACACACACACACACACACACACACACACACAGGAUAGGUGUGGCUCUCCGGGGAUGCCCUGCCUGUAUAUAAUGGGUCUCAUUUUCAACUUCCUGCCUCACUCUGGCCCAAGGCCAUUAAAGCCCCAGUCUCUUUGUGACCAGGAAGAGCAGAUCCCUGCCGGCCAGCCCAGGGUCUGCUUAUUUACUCCCCUAGAAUUUAGCUUCUCCUUCAUUUUCAACCCUGAAGGAUUUCCUCUGAUGUCAUACAAGCUAAGCUGUAUUUUUUGUUUUUCAUUUUUUGAGACAGGGUCUCACUCUGUCCCCCAGGCUGGAGGGCAGUGGCAUGAUCAUAGCUUGCUGCAGCCUCAACCUCCUGGGCUCAAGCCAUGCUUCUGCCUCAGCCUCCUGAGUAGCUGGCACUACAGGCAUGUGCCACCACGCCCAGCUAAUUUUUAUAUUUUUUAUAGAGAUGGGGGUCUCACCAUAUUGCCCAGGCUGGUCUUGAACUCCUGAGCUCACGCGAUCCUCCUGCCUCUGCCUCCCAAACUGCUGGGAUUAUAAGCUUGAGCCAUCACACCUGGGCUAAUCUGUGUUUUGAAAGGAUGUUUUUACAUGUUGGCCAACAUUUCUAUGAGUUUGUAUUCAGGGGGAGGGGGUUGAAGAUUUUCUAGUCCAUCAUUUUCUUCAAAAUUCAGGUCUCCAGACUUAAAUUUGAACACAGGCUUUGCCCCUUGUGAGCUGGGCACCCUUUGGCAAAAUACUUCAUGUCUGUAAGCCUGCAUUUAUUCCUCUGUUAGAUGGGGAAGGCCAUUGGGAGGAUGACUUGAGAUGGCGUGUAUAGCGUGCCCUGCACAUGGCAUGCAUUCAACAAUGUGCUCUGUAUUAAAAGGAGAGUUGAUUUCUGA
Homo sapiens (human) is the source of this 2591-nucleotide long non-coding RNA. RefSeq lists it as uncharacterized. The transcript is spliced from 2 exons. NCBI's taxonomy places the organism in Eukaryota, Metazoa, Chordata, Mammalia, Primates, Hominidae. The record is from RefSeq and is a predicted model, not a curated record.